Molecule: ribosomal RNA, 606 nt
Filed under: uncultured Actinomycetes bacterium
Lineage: Bacteria; Bacillati; Actinomycetota; Actinomycetes
Description: bacterial SSU rRNA
Rfam family: Bacterial small subunit ribosomal RNA
Source: RNAcentral
GUGGGGUAACGGCCUACCAAGGCGAUGACGGGUAGCUGGCGUGAGAGCGUGGCCAGCCACACUGGGACUGAGACACGGCCCAGACUCCUACGGGAGGCAGCAGCAGGGAAUAUUGCACAAUGGGCGAAAGCCUGAUGCAGCGACGCCGCGUGAGGGAUGACGGCCUUCGGGUUGUAAACCUCUUUCAGGAAGGACGAAGCGAAAGUGACGGUACUUCCAGAAGAAGCCCCGGCCAACUACGUGCCAGCAGCCGCGGUAAUACGUAGGGGGCAAACGUUGUCCGGAUUUAUUGGGCGUAAAGAGCUCGUAGGCGGCUCAGCAAGUCGGCCGUGAAAGCCCGAGGCUCAACCUCGGGAGGCCGGUCGAAACUGCUGUGGCUAGGGUCCGGUAGAGGAGAGUGGAAUUCCCGGUGUAGCGGUGAAAUGCGCAGAUAUCGGGAGGAACACCAGUAGCGAAGGCGGCUCUCUGGGCCGGUACCGACGCUGAGGAGCGAAAGCUAGGGGAGCAAACAGGAUUAGAUACCCUGGUAGUCCUAGCUGUAAACGUUGGGCACUAGGUGUGGCGGAUUCAUUGACAUCUGCCGUGCCGAAGCUAACGCAUUAAGUG